UGAGGAAUAUUGGUCAAUGGGCGCGAGCCUGAACCAGCCAAGUCGCGUGAAGGAUGACUGUCUUAUGGAUUGUAAACUUCUUUUAUACGGGAAUAACAAGAGUCACGUGUGACUCCCUGCAUGUACCGUAUGAAUAAGCAUCGGCUAACUCCGUGCCAGCAGCCGCGGUAAUACGGAGGAUGCGAGCGUUAUCCGGAUUUAUUGGGUUUAAAGGGUGCGUAGGCGGUUUGUUAAGUCAGCGGUGAAAUCUAGAGGCUCAACCUCGAAACUGCCGUUGAAACUGGCGAACUUGAGUGUAGAUGAGGUAGGCGGAAUUCGUGGUGUAGCGGUGAAAUGCAUAGAUAUCACGAGGAACUCCAAUUGCGAAGGCAGCUUACUAAGGUACAACUGACGCUGAAGCACGAAAGCGUGGGUAUCAAACAGGAUUAGAUACCCUGGUAGUCCACGCAGUAAACGAUGAUAACUGGGCGUAUGCGAUAUACAGUAUGCUCCUAAGCGAAAGCGUUAAGUUAUCCACCUGGGGAGUACGCCGGCAACGGUG
Molecule: ribosomal RNA, 541 nt
Filed under: uncultured bacterium
Lineage: Bacteria
Description: bacterial SSU rRNA
Rfam family: Bacterial small subunit ribosomal RNA
Source: RNAcentral